CUGCAUGAAGCCGGAAUCGCUAGUAAUCGCGGAUCAGAAUGCCGCGGUGAAUACGUUCCCGGGUCUUGUACACACCGCCCGUCACACCAUGGGAGCCGGGAAUGCCCGAAGUCAGUGGCCCAACCGAAAGGGGGAGCUGCCGAAGGCAGGCCUGGUGACUGGGGUGAAGUCGUAACAAGGUAAC
This 184-nucleotide ribosomal RNA is filed under the name uncultured bacterium. RNAcentral's name for it is "partial 16S ribosomal RNA". It matches the Rfam family "Bacterial small subunit ribosomal RNA", at positions 1316 to 1500 of the family's 1533-position model. The record is from RNAcentral.